Non-coding RNA from Caerostris darwini, 79 nucleotides. The record is from the annotation of a GenBank genome assembly. NCBI's taxonomy places the organism in Eukaryota, Metazoa, Arthropoda, Arachnida, Araneae, Araneidae.
AUUAGAUCACCGAAGUCAAGCAUCAUUGGGCACGGUCGUUACUUGGGUGGGUGACCAACUGGGAACACCGCGUGCCGUU